GACGAAGGGGGCUAGCGUUGUUCGGAAUUACUGGGCGUAAAGCGCGUGUAGGCGGUUGUUCAAGUCAGGUGUGAAAGCCUUGAGCUCAACUCAAGAAAUGCACUUGAUACUGGAUGACUAGAGGACCGGAGAGGAUAGUGGAAUUCCCAGUGUAGUGGUGAAAUACGUAGAGAUUGGGAAGAACACCAGUGGCGAAGGCGGCUAUCUGGACGGUUUCUGACGCUAAGACGCGAAAGCGUGGGGAGCAAGCAGG
RNAcentral lists this ribosomal RNA (253 nucleotides) under uncultured bacterium. RNAcentral's name for it is "partial 16S ribosomal RNA". It matches the Rfam family "Bacterial small subunit ribosomal RNA", at positions 524 to 776 of the family's 1533-position model. The record is from RNAcentral.